This 255-nucleotide ribosomal RNA is filed under the name uncultured bacterium. RNAcentral describes it as "partial 16S ribosomal RNA". It matches the Rfam family "Bacterial small subunit ribosomal RNA", at positions 524 to 777 of the family's 1533-position model. The record is from RNAcentral.
UACGUAGGGUCCAAGCGUUAUCCGGAAUCACUGGGCGUAAAGCGUGCGUAGGUGGAUUGUUAAGUGCGGUGCGAAAUCCUGUGGCUCAACCAUAUGGACUGUAUCGCAUACUGGCAAUCUAGAGGACAUGAGAGGCAAGUGGAAUUACUGGUGUAGCAGUGAAAUGCGUAGAGAUCAGUAGGAACACCAAUGGCGAAGGCAGCUUGCUGGCAUGUAUCUGACGCUAAGGCACGAAAGCGUGGGGAUCAAACAGGG